Pan troglodytes (chimpanzee) is the source of this 1624-nucleotide long non-coding RNA. RefSeq lists it as uncharacterized. Lineage: Eukaryota; Metazoa; Chordata; Mammalia; Primates; Hominidae. The record is from RefSeq and is a predicted model, not a curated record. The transcript is spliced from 2 exons.
GAAAGCGAAAGCGACUGGGGGGAAGAGACAGAGGCCUGACUCGCCCCUCCAGGUUGUGGGAGAGAAGGGAUUCUUUACGUAUUUUCCUUUCCUUGCAAGCUCGGUGCGUGUGGGUUUUGGCGUUGGUCUGGGGGUGGUGUUCUGCCUGAAUGCUGGUGUGCAUGGGCAGUGUGUUGUUUGGGUGCUGGGGUAGGAUGCCUGCCUCUUCGGAUUGCUGUGCAGGGGCCUGAACACAGCAGGCAUUUGUGAGCAUAUAUGCGUGAGUGUGCACUGUGUUAGGGUGUGUGUGUGUGUGUGUAUGUGUGUGUGUGUGUGAGAGAGAGAGAGACAGAGAGAGAGAGGCAGGCUUCCCCCUGGGCCAGGCUGCUGUCCCCUGAACGGUGGUGAACAAAUCUCUAACAACAAUCAUAAUAACAAUAAAUAAUGAAUAAUAAUAAUAAAACAGUAGUUAACAGUCCCUCCAUAACAGAAUAACAAUAAAAUGCAAGAGGAAAUAUUUUGAGGUGGAGACAGAAGAAGGAGUCAGGAUCACAGCAUCUGAGGGGGAGAUAGGAAAGGAAGGGAGGAAGAAAGCUUCUUAAUAUGCUCUUGGCGGGGCUGGGGUUGGGAACCCCUUUCCCAGACAAGGGACAGAAGAGGGGAAGGAGGGCCAGGAGGCCACUCUUUAUUGCUUUUUUUCUCAGGCUUCUGCUUUGUGUGAUCAGGGAAGGGAUCCCACAUAUGGGGAUGGUUAAUGGCUUUUGGGACUCUCUAGGAGCCCCUGUUUUAAGAAGGAGGCCAAAUGUGCAGGCUCAGGCCAAGGGGCAGAGAUGAAUGAGGCGAUGACCACAGCCUUGAUCCGGCAGGAGCUCAGAGAUGCCCGGGAAGACGGGGGGGCCCGAACGGAAGCAGAAAAACACUUAUGGCCGCUGGGGAGUUGGGAGAGCCAGGCUGGGGCUUCGGCAGGCCCAGGGAAAGUUCCCUUUCUAGGCUCUUUAUUAACAAAUUUAAAAGGAGGAGUCGAGGCGCCUUGAAUUUUCCUUCGCGAGUUUGGAGACUAGCCGAUUUUUCAUGAAGCAAGCAAAGACCGCGGUCCCGGAUCCUGCAACAUCUACCUCAUUCUCUCCAGGCCUCUCCACUUGCCCGAGCUCUCAGCCACCAGGAGACAGAAGGAAGGGACUUCUGGGCUGCGUUGGGAGCGGGCACUGUCCCCUAUCCACUCCUGCUCGGUUUCCCAAAGUCCAGCGACAUCCGACCCUCCUGGGGGGAAAAAUACCAAUACCCAGACACCUCUGCACCCUGUUAUAUGACUGGGCUUGCUUCAGGAAUAUCUUACAAAGAAGAAGAAGAAGAAGAAAGAACGGCUUGGAGUCAUGUUUACAUCUAGUUCUACUGAUCGGUUCCCAUCUGGAGAGUUUAUUUAUAACUCCCUCUAUAACUCUCUGUUUGGAGGCACUGGUGGCUCUAUUGACAGACUGAUGUCUAGGAAAUAUUGCUCUAUGUCUAACCGUACCUAAAUGUGCUGUGGUUGUAUUUACAGAUUUAUGUUUGAAGGAAAUAUAAUUAUUUCCAUUGUAUUUGUGCAUAUACAGUAGUUAUAGGAGCAGAUUUAUAUAUGGGAAAAUAUACGACUCUCUUACAGCCA